RNA transcript from Aedes albopictus (Asian tiger mosquito), 690 nucleotides. It is a transcript of the gene named nuclear protein 1, with no coding region annotated. NCBI's taxonomy places the organism in Eukaryota, Metazoa, Arthropoda, Insecta, Diptera, Culicidae. The record is from RefSeq and is a predicted model, not a curated record. The transcript is spliced from 3 exons.
UGCCGCCUGGACAAGGCUUUGCCAUGUUAAAAACGGGAGGUUUCACUCACAGUAAAUACCUAUCAACUGUGGUAUUCAUUCGUGUCGGAGCAAAUGAAAUGCGAAUGCUUAUGAAAACGCAACAACACAAAGGACAAAAAUAGAGUGAAGCAUUCCAUAUUUGCUCAGUCGUCAGAACACCGUUCGACAGUGAAUAUAGCCACUUGUGAAGUAACCAAAGUCGAGAAAAAAUAACUAAUAAAUCUCUAAAUAAUUAUCUCCAGUUCUAUUUAUUUUGAAGUGAAUAUUUAUCUAGAACAGCGUUCAAACAUCGAUUAGUUGCUGCGUAGUUUCAUUUGCUUUCAAGGCAACCACCAGGCAGAACAAAGGAAAGCAAUAUGUCGGAAGUACACUUUGAUGAGUACGAAAAGUACAACGUUGAUUUCGACAAGUACGUGUUCUCCGGUCACUCGGGAAAGCAACGAUCCAAGAAGGAAGCUAGUGAACAUACGAAUCAUUUCGAUCCCAGCGGUCAUUCCAGAAAAAUAACCACCAAACUGCGUAAUACCGAGCAAAAUCGAAAGGAAAAAUCGAAGAACUAACAUUGAUGCAAUUGAUAUGCCAGCCUUUUUUCUUCUUCUUCGCUAUUUAAGCUGAUAAACUUGUGCAACACUGGGAAAUAAUGUGAAUAAACGAUGGAUUAUAAAAAAA